GGCUCAGUAGUUUAGAGGUUAAACGUUCGUGUUCAAGACCGAAGGUCUUGGGUUCGAAUCCCUUUGGUGUG
This 71-nucleotide transfer RNA is filed under the name Schistosoma mansoni. The record is from RNAcentral. Lineage: Eukaryota; Metazoa; Platyhelminthes; Trematoda; Strigeidida; Schistosomatidae.